This 73-nucleotide transfer RNA is filed under the name Candidatus Moraniibacteriota bacterium. Its description in RNAcentral is "Candidatus Moranbacteria bacterium tRNA-Ala". It matches the Rfam family "tRNA". Rfam says of the family: Transfer RNA (tRNA) molecules are approximately 80 nucleotides in length. The record is from RNAcentral. Lineage: Bacteria; Candidatus Moraniibacteriota.
GGGGAUAUAGCUUAGCUGGUAGAGCGCUUCCAUGGCAUGGAAGAGGUCGAGGGUUCGAGUCCCUCUAUCUCCA